RNAcentral lists this ribosomal RNA (253 nucleotides) under uncultured bacterium. Its description in RNAcentral is "partial 16S ribosomal RNA". It matches the Rfam family "Bacterial small subunit ribosomal RNA", at positions 524 to 776 of the family's 1533-position model. The record is from RNAcentral.
UACGUAGGGUGCGAGCGUUAUUCGGAAUUACUGGGCGUAAAGGGUGCGCAGGCGGCCGCGCAAGUCGAGUGUGAAAGCCCCGAGCUUAACUUGGGAAUUGCGCUCGAAACUACGUGGCUGGAGUGUGGCAGAGGAAGGUGGAAUUCCAGGUGUAGCGGUGAAAUGCGUAGAGAUCUGGAGGAACACCGAUGGCGAAGGCAGCCUCCUGGGCCAACACUGACGCUCAUGCACGAAAGCGUGGGGAGCAAACAGG